UCCGUAGGGGGCAAGCGUUGUCCGGAAUCAUUGGGCGUAAAGAGCGUGUAGGCGGCCAUACAGGUCAGCUGUGAAAACUCGAGGCUCAACCUCGAGACGUCGGUUGAAACCGUAUGGCUAGAGUCCGGAAGAGGAGAGUGGAAUUCCCGGUGUAGCGGUGAAAUGCGCAGAUAUCGGGAAGAACACCUAUGGCGAAGGCAGCUCUCUGGGACGGUACUGACGCUGAGACGCGAAAGCGUGGGGAGCGAACAGG
This 253-nucleotide ribosomal RNA is filed under the name uncultured bacterium. RNAcentral describes it as "partial 16S ribosomal RNA". It matches the Rfam family "Bacterial small subunit ribosomal RNA", at positions 524 to 776 of the family's 1533-position model. The record is from RNAcentral.